This 468-nucleotide ribosomal RNA is filed under the name uncultured bacterium. RNAcentral's name for it is "partial 16S ribosomal RNA". It matches the Rfam family "Bacterial small subunit ribosomal RNA", at positions 28 to 507 of the family's 1533-position model. The record is from RNAcentral.
GACGAACGCUGGCGGCGUGCUUAACACAUGCAAGUCGAACGGAAAGGCCCUGCUUUUGUGGUGUGCUCGAGUGGCGAACGGGUGAGUAACACGUGAGUAACCUGCCCUUGACUUUGGGAUAACUUCAGGAAACUGGGGCUAAUACCGUAUAGGAGCUCCUGCUGCAUGGUGGGGGUUGGAAAGUUUCGGCGGUUGGGGAUGGACUCGCGGCUUAUCAGCUUGUUGGUGGGGUAGUGGCUUACCAAGGCUUUGACGGGUAGCUGGCCUGAGAGGGUGACCGGCCACAUUGGGACUGAGAUACGGCCCAGACUCCUACGGGAGGCAGCAGUGGGGAAUAUUGCACAAUGGGCGGAAGCCUGAGGCAGCAACGCCGCGUGCGGGAUGACGGCCUUCGGGUUGUAAACCGCUUUCGCCUGUGACGAAGCGUGAGUGACGGUAAUGGGUAAAGAAGCACCGGCUAACUACGUG